Molecule: transfer RNA, 103 nt
Filed under: Rhodotorula toruloides
Lineage: Eukaryota; Fungi; Basidiomycota; Microbotryomycetes; Sporidiobolales; Sporidiobolaceae
Also listed under: 1 other name
Description: Rhodosporidium toruloides tRNA
Rfam family: tRNA
About the family: Transfer RNA (tRNA) molecules are approximately 80 nucleotides in length.
Source: Rfam by way of RNAcentral
GCACCAAUAGCUCAGUGGUAGAGCGGCCGACUGCAAAAGUCUCCUCUUCCAGGAGGAACUUAGCGAGAUCGUCAGGUCGCCGGUUCGAUCCCGGCUUGGGGCU